AGUGAACGCUGGCGGCAGGCCUAAUACAUGCAAGUCGAACGGCAGCACAGCAGAGCUUGCUCUGUGGGUGGCGAGUGGCGGACGGGUGAGGAAUACAUGGGAAUCUGCCCAGUCGUGGGGGAUAACGUAUGGAAACGUACGCUAAUACCGCAUGCGCCCUACGGGGGAAAGCCGGGGACCGAAAGGCCUGGCGCGAUUGGAUGAGCCCAUGUUCGAUUAGCUAGUUGGCGGGGUAAAGGCCCACCAAGGCGACGACCGAUAGCUGGUCUGAGAGGAUGAUCAGCCACACUGGAACUGAGACACGGUCCAGACUCCUACGGGAGGCAGCAGUAGGGAAUAUUGGACAAUGGGGGCAACCCUGAUCCAGCCAUGCCGCGUGAGUGAAGAAGGCCCUCGGGUUGUAAAGCUCUUUUGUCCGGAAAGAAAAGCAUUCGGUUAAUACCCGGGUGUUCUGACGGUACCGGAAGAAUAAGCACCGGCUAACUUCGUGCCAGCAGCCGAC
This 502-nucleotide ribosomal RNA is filed under the name uncultured bacterium. Its description in RNAcentral is "bacterial SSU rRNA". It matches the Rfam family "Bacterial small subunit ribosomal RNA", at positions 29 to 518 of the family's 1533-position model. The record is from RNAcentral.